CAGUAGCCGCGGUAAUACGAGGGGGGCAAGCGUUGUUCGGAAUUAUUGGGCGUAAAGGGUGCGUAGGCGGUUUGGCAAGUCUUGUGUGAAAUCUUCGGGCUCAACCCGAAGCCUGCACGAGAAACUGCCGGGCUUGAGUAUUGGAGAGGUGAGUGGAAUUUCCGGUGUAGCGGUGAAAUGCGUAGAUAUCGGAAGGAACACCUGUGGCGAAAGCGGCUCACUGGACCAUAACUGACGCUGAUGCACGAAAGCUAGGGGAGCAAACAGGAUUAGAUACCCCGGUAGUCCCUGUCUCUUAUAC
RNAcentral lists this ribosomal RNA (301 nucleotides) under uncultured bacterium. RNAcentral describes it as "partial 16S ribosomal RNA". It matches the Rfam family "Bacterial small subunit ribosomal RNA", at positions 509 to 807 of the family's 1533-position model. The record is from RNAcentral.